GUGAUUGCCUCAGGGUUUAUGCUCCCUGCUUUCCCCCCAUUAAUUUAUGGGCUUAUUGUAAACUCUUCAUUCUGUCAUUUCCCCACUCCAGGCAGCGUGGGGCAGGCAACAGUCCUGGGCAUUUUUUCCUUUCACCCUGCGUGUUGGCUGGUCCAUCUCUCAGCCAUUUGCAGCAAUUUGUGUGGGUAAGGACCAUGGCAGUGGCAUGCUUCAGCUGCAGACCAUUGCUCAUGGUAUCAAAUACUGAUGAAGAUGUGUUUUUCCCAGCUAGGGUGCUCUUGAAGGCAGUGACAUUUCCCCAGCAGUGCUGGGGGCUGCUGUGUAGGAUGAAAUGUUUUUCACCUGUUCAGUAGAUGGGCAGGGCUCUCAGCUGUGCCUCUCAAAUACAAGCACAGCACCUCCUUCCUGGAUUAGGGAUUUGUUUGUAGCCUUUUAUCAAAGUCAUUUGCAAGCCUUUGUACAUUUUGUGUUUUGUUUUUUUUUUUUUUCAACAAUCUUUUGAGGCAGGAAGAAGUUAUUUAUUGCAUCUCUCCUUGGCUUCUCAUCCUUGGACUGUGGGACUUGUAGACCACAUAGACAUCAUGUCUGAGAGAGUAGAGCUGCUUGAAGCAUGUCUGUGAGUCCCUGCUGUGGAAGAGGGGUGAGUGUCUGGCUCAGUAGCAACGUAGAAACCCUUUUUUAUGGGCUGUUUUUCUCCCCUGGUCUUUUCUAUAGCUUUGUGUAACGCUUCCCCUGUCUCCUAGUAGAGAUGCCUUUGCACUCUGGUCCCAUGGCAGCUGCAGUUCCAUCUGGUCCUGAAGCACUGCACUGUACUGGCACUAAAGGCUACAGCCAGCUAUAAAACUCACUCCUGCAGCUGAAAAAGGGAGCUUUGAACACCCAGUGUGCCAAAGAGAUGCAUUAGUAUCUGCUCUGAGCUGGGGGAGAAGGAAGGAGUGCUGGGAUAUGCCUUCCCACAACACAAAGGCCUCCUUAAUUGUGCUCCCUAUGAUUAAAUAACUCUUUGAAGACAUCACUGGAAGUUAUUUCUUCCAUGUGGGAAUGUCACUUGCCAGGAUGCUGAAGCCUUGAUCUGCAGGAGGGACACAAAAGUCCAACAGGGCUGCAAGAGUGUCUGAGAGGCUUUGCCAAAAUGCAGAUCAGGAGGGAACUUAUUUUAUGGGUGCCUACACCCUGGAAAAAUACUAGACACAGCUGUUUUCUGGAGGACAGGCCCUCACAUGGCAGGGAGCCAGCAGCAGCAGUACUCCAUCUUCCACAUGCUAUGCUGCUGCCAUGAUCCUGAAUGUGCCCAGGGCAGGACCCUGUCCCUGUGCCAGCCCAGGCUAAGCUCCCCUCAGAUGCCCACCCUGAAGCUUGCACCCUGAAUCCCUGAGGCAGAGGAGGCAGGUCUCCAUAGACAGAGGCAAGCGAUUGCCUGAAUAUUCAUGUAUCGGCAGGCAAGCUACAGCAGGCCCUUGUUACAAACUGCUACCCAAACUGCUUACAUCCAUAAAUGAGGGAAAUAAAUAAACAGAU
This is a non-coding RNA of Phalacrocorax carbo (great cormorant), 1518 nucleotides long. NCBI's taxonomy places the organism in Eukaryota, Metazoa, Chordata, Aves, Suliformes, Phalacrocoracidae. The record is from RefSeq and is a predicted model, not a curated record.